GUGCCCUCCGGGCGGCAGCAGUGGGGAAUAUUGCGCAAUGGGCGAAAGCCUGACGCAUCUACUCCUCUUUAUUUAUUAAUGUCUUCGGAUCGUAAACCUCUGUCAGCAGGGAAGAACGGUCACUGUGCCAAUCAGCAGUGAAUUGACGGUACCUGCAAAGGAAGCACCGGCUAACUCCGUGCCAGCAGCCGCGGUAAUACGGAGGGUGCGAGCGUUAAUCGGAAUUACUGGGCGUAAAGCGCUCGUAGGCGGUAUGUCAAGUCAAGGGUGAAAUCCCCGCGCUCAACGUGGGAACUGCCUUUGAA
RNAcentral lists this ribosomal RNA (305 nucleotides) under uncultured bacterium. RNAcentral describes it as "bacterial SSU rRNA". It matches the Rfam family "Bacterial small subunit ribosomal RNA", at positions 335 to 631 of the family's 1533-position model. The record is from RNAcentral.